RNAcentral lists this unclassified non-coding RNA (333 nucleotides) under soil metagenome. RNAcentral describes it as "partial contains 5.8S ribosomal RNA, internal transcribed spacer 2, and large subunit ribosomal RNA". The stretch from base 5 to 119 matches the Rfam family "5.8S ribosomal RNA", at positions 40 to 154 of the family's 154-position model. The record is from RNAcentral.
GAUGAGAACGCAGCGAAAUGCGAUAAGUAGUGUGAAUUGCAGAAUUCAGUGAAUCAUCGAAUCUUUGAACGCACAUUGCGCCCCUUGGUAUUCCAUGGGGCCUGCCUGUUCGAGCGUCAUUUGUACCUUCAAGCUUUGCUUGGUGUUGGGUGUUUGUCCAUUCUCUUGCAGAGGGACUCGCCUUAAAGUAAUUGGCAGCCAGUGUUUUGGUUUUGAAGCGCAGCACAAGUCGCGAUUCAACGCUAUACGCCAGCUUCCACAAGCCUUUUUCACUUUUGACCUCGGAUCAGGUAGGGAUACCCGCUGAACUUAAGCAUAUCAAUAAGCGGAGGA